This 255-nucleotide ribosomal RNA is filed under the name uncultured bacterium. RNAcentral's name for it is "partial 16S ribosomal RNA". It matches the Rfam family "Bacterial small subunit ribosomal RNA", at positions 524 to 776 of the family's 1533-position model. The record is from RNAcentral.
UACGUAGGGUGCAAGCGUUAAUCGGAAUUACUGGGCGUAAAGCGCACGUAGGCGGCUUUGUAAGUUAGAGGUGAAAGCCCGGGGCUCAACUCCGGAAUUGCCUUUAAGACUGCAUCGCUAGAAUUGUGGAGAGGUAAGUGGAAUUCCGAGUGUAGAGGUGAAAUUCGUAGAUAUUCGGAAGAACACCAGUGGCGAAGGCGGCCCGCUGGGCAGUGGCUGACGCUGAGGCGCGACAGCGGUGGGGGAGCAAACAGG